RNAcentral lists this ribosomal RNA (238 nucleotides) under uncultured bacterium. RNAcentral describes it as "partial 16S ribosomal RNA". It matches the Rfam family "Bacterial small subunit ribosomal RNA", at positions 524 to 761 of the family's 1533-position model. The record is from RNAcentral.
UACAUGGGGUGCAAACGUUGCUCGGAAUUAUUGGGCGUAAAGCGCACGUAGGCGGUUCGUUAAGUCGGAUGUGAAAGCCCUCGGCUCAACUGAGGAAGUGCACCCGAAACUGGCGAGCUUGAGUACGAAAGAGGAUCGCGGAAUUCCCGGUGUAGAGGUGAAAUUCGUAGAUAUCGGGAGGAACACCGGUGGCGAAGGCGGCGAUCUGGGUCGAUACUGACGCUGAGGUGCGAAAGCG